Molecule: ribosomal RNA, 460 nt
Filed under: uncultured bacterium
Lineage: Bacteria
Description: partial 16S ribosomal RNA
Rfam family: Bacterial small subunit ribosomal RNA
Source: RNAcentral
CCUACGGGAGGCAGCAGUGAGGAAUAUUGGUCAAUGGACGAGAGUCUGAACCAGCCAAGUAGCGUGAAGGAUGACUGCCCUAUGGGUUGUAAACUUCUUUUAUAAAGGAAUAAAACGAGGCACGUGUGCCUUUUUGCAUGUACUUUAUGAAUAAGGAUCGGCUAACUCCGUGCCAGCAGCCGCGGUAAUACGGAGGAUCCGAGCGUUAUCCGGAUUUAUUGGGUUUAAAGGGAGCGUAGAUGGGUUGUUAAGUCAGUUGUGAAAGUUUGCGGCUCAACCGUAAAAUUGCAAUUGAUACUGGCAGUCUAGAGUACAGUCGAGGUAGGCGGAAUUCGUGGAGUAGCGGUGAAAUGCUUAGAUAUCGCGCAGAACCCCGAUUGCGAAGGCAGCGUACCGGCUCCACACUGACGCUGAGGCACGAAAGCGUGGGGAUCGAACAGGAUUAGAUACCCCAGUAGUC